UACAGAGGUCUCAAGCGUUGUUCGGAUUUAUUGGGCGUAAAGGGUGCGUAGGCGGCGCGGUAAGUCGGGUGUGAAAUCUCGGGGCUUAACUCCGAAACUGCAUUCGAUACUGCCGUGCUUGAGGACUGGAGAGGAGACUGGAAUUUACGGUGUAGCGGUGAAAUGCGUAGAUAUCGUAAGGAAGACCAGUGGCGAAGGCGGGUCUCUGGACAGUUCCUGACGCUGAGGCACGAAGGUCAGGGGAGCAAACGGG
RNAcentral lists this ribosomal RNA (253 nucleotides) under uncultured bacterium. Its description in RNAcentral is "partial 16S ribosomal RNA". It matches the Rfam family "Bacterial small subunit ribosomal RNA", at positions 524 to 776 of the family's 1533-position model. The record is from RNAcentral.